CAGCCGCCGCGGUAAUACGUAGGGUGCGAGCGUUAAUCGGAAUUACUGGGCGUAAAGCGUGCGCAGGCGGUUGUGUAAGACAGGUGUGAAAUCCCCGGGCUUAACCUGGGAACUGCGCUUGUGACUGCACAGCUAGAAUAUGGCAGAGGGGGGUGGAAUUCCACGUGUAGCAGUGAAAUGCGUAGAGAUGUGGAGGAACACCGAUGGCGAAGGCAGCCCCCUGGGCCAAUACUGACGCUCAUGCACGAAAGCGUGGGGAGCAAACAGGAUUAGAUACCCCUGUAGUCCCUGUCUCUUAUAC
This 301-nucleotide ribosomal RNA is filed under the name uncultured bacterium. Its description in RNAcentral is "partial 16S ribosomal RNA". It matches the Rfam family "Bacterial small subunit ribosomal RNA", at positions 509 to 807 of the family's 1533-position model. The record is from RNAcentral.